RNAcentral lists this long non-coding RNA (13829 nucleotides) under Solanum lycopersicum (tomato). RNAcentral describes it as "long non-coding RNA (SLYC_LNC000045)". Lineage: Eukaryota; Viridiplantae; Streptophyta; Magnoliopsida; Solanales; Solanaceae. The record is from RNAcentral.
CUAGCUUUAACAUUUAUUCCAACCCCACUUUAAUACCCAUUUUAUUUUAAAUUCCAGCCCACUUUCAUACUACUAUACCAAUUUCCAGCAAACAAGCAGCAGUGUACAGCACUACCAAAAAUCAACCCACCCGACCCGCACAAUCUUUGUCCUCUCUCGCGACUGAAACUCAGAGGAAACCCAUAAAUCCCAGCAGUCACGUGAUGCACCCUCUCAUCUCUCUUCGUACGAAGACCUUUGGAGAGCAUGAGAUGUCAAAAUCUGGUGCCUCGAUCGUCCUUCACUCAAAAUCAACACCUCACCAUUCAAAUUUGUACAUCAUCGAAUGGGAAAUCUCUAUCUUCUAAGGGAUUUUGAAAAUUUUUAAAUAACCCACAUCGUCUCUUCUUAGAUUUUUGGAAUUUUUGGGUUUAUAUAUAUAAACUCACUUCAUUCCCUUUUUUAAAGGAAGAUUUGGUAGGGAGACCAAUAAGUACCUAUAAAAUUUUAGGAAUUCUUGGUUCCAUAGUUAAAAUUUUUAAAGUGUUUUGUGGUUUUUCGAGUUGAAGACGUGGAAUCGUCUUCUUAAAAGUCGUAGUUCCGGUUCGGUGCCUAGAACCAGGUAAAUUAAUUCUUAGAUUCAUUUUUUAUUAAAUUCCCAGCUCUUGUAUGCUCUUUGUUUAUUAUAUGUGCUUAGUUUUGUUUUAGUAGUCAUAUGUUAGACUUCGAUUUGACCUUUUAGUAGUUAAUAAUGUUUAUUUUGUUCCUACUAUUUUAUUUAUUUUUGUAUAGCUAAAAAUUUCCUAGAUCCUUUGGUGUUUUGUUCAUAUUUAUGGUCUGAUUUGGUAUUAAAUAUUAAUGUUCAUUUUGGCCCUAACCCUUUGCUUGUUCCUAUAAUGAUAAGAAUUCAAUUAUGUAUUUACACAAUUGAUUUAUAUAAAUAUUGAAUGUUAGUUCAAUUUCUCCAUUAAGGGUUGUUGCUUUGAUUUUGAAAAUGGCAUGAGUUGUUCGUUUGUCUUUUCACUUUUUUUUCGAGAUAUUUUUAUAGUAGUCGCCCACUUUCAUAUCUUUGUUUCUUUAUGUUUCACUCAUGUGCUUCUUGACUAAAAUGUAGACUUCAUAGUUAGUAAUAAAAGAGGAUUCAUUAAGCUAAGUCUUUUCUUAAAUAUAUAUAUAUACAUAUACAUAUAUAUAUAUAUAUAUAUAUAUAUACACAUACACACAUCCGGUUAUAUUUUUUUGAAUAUAUGAAAUUGUCUUCGUUAUAAAAAUUCCAUUAACCGUAUUCCUAGAAUUUUCAUUAGUUUACUGUUAAUAUUCAAGCUUCCCUUUAAAAUACUAGUUGCUUAUGUUACCAAGGAUCUAUAUUUGAAUUGAUAUUUAUUUGUAUUUUCUGUUAUAUUACUGUAUAGGUUAAGAUGUUUUACUCAUUACAUAGAGGUUUGUCUCUUCUUUUUUUGUAGUAUAUUUAAACUCUGUGAUUGAAUUUUAGAUAUCUGUUCCUAUCCGUAUUGUUGUGAUUAGAGUAAUGGAGAUUGUAGUUUCAGGUAAUGGGUAUUUGUUUUCUCGACUUUUAUUUAAGAUUUAGUUGGUUUUCUUUGCUUUCUAUCUCGUAAAGUUUUAAUUUUUAGUUAACUUAGUGUGUCAUUAUUUUAAGAAAAACAAUUUUCGUGAUGAUGUAGAAAACUACAAUAGAUUAAACACAAAAUGAAAAAAACAAUUAACUGGAAAUGCAUACAAAUAAAAGAGGAUUAAAACGAUGAAAAAAAUGGACAAGAAAUUUGGAGAAAGAAGAUCAAAAAAGAGGAAAGAAAAAUAUCAAUUUUUUCAAUAAUCGGGUUAAUUGUGAAUGGGAAAGAAGACUUUAUAAAACCCUAAUGUGGCUAUUAGACCCUUUUAACCACAUUUCACUCUCCUCAAGUGUGUAUAUCACACGCCCCUUGGUUGCAUCUGCCACAUAGGAGGUCAAGUCAGAAAACGUUUUUAAAAUAUUGAGUGUAGAUGGGUUCAGCGGUCCAGAUUACAAAUGUAUAAGUAGAAGAUUUCACACUACAAACUGACAUAAGUACAAGGGUUCACUAGACCCUUUUGCCAAAAUAAUAUAACUCCAUGUUUACACUUUUUUUCUUUUCUACUAAUUGGGAUGGUGUUUUCAUUAUAAAGUCACGUUUUCUUUGGUGAGAUUGAGAUUAUAUUAUAAUUUAAUCUUAUAUUAAUUAAUCAUUCUUAAGAAAUAUCAAUGUUUAAAUACUAAUCCUAGACUUUACGCUCUACACCGUACACGUUCUUUUUAUCAUGAAGUUUAGUUGAUUUUGUCUGACUUGAAUCAUCAUAGGUUGUUUUUUAAGUGAAGGAGAGAGACAUGACUUUCUAGAAAUUGAAUCAAUAUUCGCAAGGUAUUUCUCGUAUCCGUUGCAAGAGAAUACUCUCUAUGACACAUAUAUUAGACCCUAGCGCAAGAAUAUAUUGCUCUAGUCCCGUAACAAAGCAAAGAAGGAUUCAUGGGCAGAAGAAUUCAUGCUUCAAGAGAAUCCCUUUUUCACUUGGUUACGGGACUGGAUAAAUAUAUGUCUCAAAGAACCAUGAUGUUUCCCCUUUCAAACAAAAGUGCUAAAAUCAAAAUUGUGGGUCAUAUGCAAUAAUUCAUGCAUAAUCCUUAUUGACUGAUUUUUUCUAAUUUUAAAUCAGAAGUACUAAAAUCAAAAUUUUAAAUAUACACAAAUAAAAUGUAACAAAGUGAAUGGAUACCUAGUUCUAGUUUGAAUCAAAGGAGUCUCCAUGGAAAAAAUUAAAUAUAGAAUAAUUGUUAGCCCCUAUAUCGAGUUGUUCUAGAUCCAUUCUUUUGUUGUUGUAGUUGUUGGUGGAACACACACUACUGUUGUUGUUGAUGGAGGAAAAGAUGUUUGUUGGAUAAAUUAAGAUGGUUGAAUGGGAUGUAAUUACAACGGUUGAUUACCAUUUUGUUUCGGAUUAUGACUUGGUCAUCUUGUUUUUCCUAGUGAGCAGUUAUAAGAAUCAAUAGAGUAAAUUUUAGAUAAACCGUUAAAAUUAGUCAUGUCAGGAGCUAAAAUCAUCAAAAGAAUUCCAAACACAUUUAAAGAAGUCCAAGUAUAAAUUCGGAGCUACAACAUUGUCAGGUUUACUAAUAUUUUUACUUCUUACGACCGCACCUAUAUCCCAGUCAUGAUCAUUCAUUUUAAAUCUAUAUAAAAUGAUAUCUAGUUAAAUGUAAAAAAAAAAGAGCCUAUAAGAAAAGCUAAUGAUGUUUUCUACUGAACUAGAGAGAAAGAAAAAUGAUCCAAAGAGGGGUUUCCUAAUGGAGGAAGUAGAUUAUCAAAGAAACGUUUAGUGGGUAUGACAUUAUAAGGUUGAGAUGAGGAAAAGUGAAUUAAUUUUUAAAAUAUAAUGAUAAAAUUAAAAUAAGAAAAAAUAUUUAUUGGCAUUAACUGUAAAUUAAAUAUGGAUGCUACGGGAUAGGUAGAUAGCCCUUAAAUUUUAUCUAUAUAUUUUGAAAUGUGUUCACUUUUCUUAAUCUUAACCUUUAAUUUAUAAUGUCAUACCCACUAAAUGUUUCUUUGAUCAUCUACUUCUUCCAUUAGAAACCCCCCUCUUUGAAUCAUUUUCUCUCUCUCUCUAAUUUAGCAAAAAACAUUAUUAGUUUCUCUUAUCAGCUAAUUAUUAUUUUUUUACAUCUAAGUAGAUAUCAAUUUAUAUUGAUUUAAAAUGGGUGAUCAUGAUUGGGAUAAAAGUGUGGUUUUAAGAAGUUGUAAUAUUAAUAAACCUGACAAUGUUCUAGUUCCUAAGUUAUAUUUGGAGACUUCAUUAAAUGAUGUUUGAAAUUCUUUUGAUAAAAUUUUUGCUCGUGACAUGACUAAUUUUAAUGGUUUAUCAUUAUAUUCUCUUUAGAUUUUCAAAUUGCUCACCAGGAAAACCAGAUGAUCAAGUCAUUAUGAACCAAAAUGGUAACCAAUAGUUGUACUAAUAUGCUAUCCAACCAGCUCAAUUUAUCCAUCUAACAACAAUAACAACAAAAGAAUGGAUUGAUCUACAAAAACUCGAUAUAGGGGCUAACAAUUAUCGUAAUUUCACUUUUCCAUGAAGAAUCCUUUGGUUCAAACUAGAACAAGGAAACCAUUCCCUUAAUUACAUUUUAUGUGUGUAUGCUCAAAAUUUUGAUUUUACUACUUUUGAUUUGAAAUCAGGAAAAAUCAUUCAAUAAGGAUUACACAUGAAUUAUUGCAAGAGGAAAAUGAUGAGACUGAAUAUUAAAGUAUAACUGAAAAACUGGUCAAAUACAUUAGAUUCUGACUAUGGGAGCCAUUAAUAACCGACAGAACCACCACAUGAGUUAUCUAUGAUUUCAAAUGCACACACCACAUUGAAGGAACCGAUAUACCUUGCCAGGGGUAUUUAGGCGUUUAUAGUGUAAUCACUAAACCUAAUGCCCAUAGAGAGGACCUUAGCCUACGGGGGUAUGCAGUUCUGGGACUAUGAGGGUAUACAAAAAUCUGGUCCACUCGGUUCUAAGCGUACUUAAAACUGAAUAUGUAUAUCUAACACACAUAACUGAAACAUUGAAUAGCUCAAAUACUAACAUGAAAAUCUGAGAAUAUAACAAUGAUAAAAUGAUAAUGUAACAUACAAAAAACGAUGCAUGUAUAAUUUUUUAAUUGACCUAGCAUGUAUUAUUCAUAAACUAAAAGAAUCUACACAACUAGGUUAUGAGUUUCAUGCAAAAAAGUAAGCAAAGAUUCCACAAAAACAAGAUAAUUUAAUUAGGAAUACUCUAAUAACUAAAUCACAACUAAUAUCUAUGGUUUUACAAAUUUUAGGUUUAAGCAACAUACAUAAAUCAAGAAUCUAACUUAAUUCUAGGGACCUAAUCGGUGAAAGGAACCCACUAGUCAAAUCGCAUUACUUGGUGAAGAAAUCCUUCAAUUUUAAGGCAAAAACUGAAGAAAACGUGUUUCAUUCUUGGAAGGGUUUUGGUCUCCUAUUUCCUCCACUUUUUUUUUUCAAAGUUUGAUGAAUUUUUCUUAAUAGGUGUCUUUUGCCUCAUAAAUUACACUUAAUGUGUAAUAUAAGGAGUAUCGUGGAAAUAUUGUAGAAUAUUAUUAUGUAUAAAAAUAAUAUAUAUCCAUGUUUACUAUUUUUUCUUUUAUAUUUGACAUGAUGUUUUCAUUACAUAGCUAUUCUUUCUUUAGUUAGAUUCAGAUAAGACAACAAUUCAAUAUAUAUUAAUAUAAUCAUUCUUAAGCUAUAUCAACGUUUAAAUACUAAGCGUAGACUUUAGUCUCUGCAACUUACAUGCUCUUUUUAUUAUGAAAUUUAGUUAUUUUUUUUCUACAUGAAUCAUCAAAGGUUGUGUUUUAAGUAAAGGAGAGAGACAUGACUUUCUAGGAAUUGAAUCCAUAGGCUCAAGGGCAUGCCCUCUAUCUGCUGGAAGAGAAUACACACUUUUGAACAUAUAUUAUACCCUAGUGCAAGAAAGAUUCCCUCUAGUCCCGUAACAAAUCAAAGGUGAAUUUCUGUACAGAAGAAUCUAUGCUUUAAGAGGAUCCCCUUUUUUCGCUUGGUUAAGAGACUAGAGCAAUAUAUGUGUCAAUGAGGGGAUUCUUUUGUUGCCGUUACGGGGGUAUGCCCCUGAGCCAAUUGAACCAAUUCCUACUUAGUCAUGUCUCUUUCUUUACAUAAAUCACAAUCCAUGAUGAUUCAAGUCACAAAAAAUAACUUAAAUGUAUGAUAAAAAGAAUGUAGGUUGUAGAGCCUAAAGUUUAGGAUUUGUAACGACCCGUUUAGUCAUUUUGAGCAACAGACUUCAAUUCUGGAAAAAAUGGCAGAAGCGAUGGACCCCACGACGGAUCACCAUGGGCACGACGGACCGUCGAGGGGGUCUCGUCCCAAAACACUUAGAAAAUCUGAAAUUGGGUACUGAAAAUCAACUCUCUGAACUUUGUGACGGAAUGGCAGGACGGACCGUCACGGGUGUGACGGACCGUCGUGAUCCAACGUUUCAAAACACUUAGAAAAUCUGAAAUUGGGUACUGAAAAUCAACUCUCAGAACUUUGUGACGGAAUGGCAGGACGAACCGUCAUAAGUGUGACGGACCGUCACAGACCUUUGGUGAAAAUUUGGGUCUCUAAACUCUGCGACGACCUGCAGGACGGACCGUCGUAGGCACGACGGCCCGUCACAGGUUGCGCAAAUCCCAGGCAGAGUCGGAUUUCUGGUGAUGUUUUAAGGGACGUUUUUGGACUAUUCUUUCCUUAAUUAUAGAUUUCGUGGGUUUAUAUUAAUAACUCAAAUUCUUGAGGGUUAAAAGAGGCAACCCUAAGUUAAUUAGUGGGGUAUUAUUGCCACCUUUUAUUCUUAAUUAUAUACUAAUUAGGGUAAAAGAAAGAGGGUUGAAUAAGAAAAAUAGAAAGAACAAAGAGAGACAGAAAAAGAAAGAGAAACGAACGAGAAAGAGGAGAAACGAGAAGAACAACAAAAGCUUGGAAACUUGCUUGUUUUAUUUCAAUUUUUCGGUGGAGGUAGGUUAUGGUUUUCAUGCUAUUCGUAGUAAACUCUUAAUAGCGAAUGAUGUGUGUUAGUAGUAUUGUAAACCCUUCUAUAUGCUUAAUGAUAUGCUUGCAUGAAUGAUGUGAUUAUGUAAUUAUGAAUAAAUAAGCAUGAUGAAGCUAUCGAAUUCCAAAUCUUGAAAAGCAACCCUAAUCUACUUUGUUAAUGAUGAUGCAUUGGUAUAAAAGAAGGCUUGACGAAUGAAAGUAGUGAGAUUAGGGGAUCGAGUGUCACGUUCCGACACCAGGAUAGAAUAUAUGGAUCAGGUGUCACGUUCCGACACCAGGAUAGAAUAUGGAUUAGGUGUCACGUUCCGACACCAGGAUAGAAUAUGGAUCGGGUGCCACGUUCCGGUACCAGGAUAGAAUAUAUGGAUCGGGUGCCACGUUCCGGUACCAGGAUAGAAUGAGGAUCGGAGUGUCACGUUCCGACACCAGGAUAGUAUAUUGAGGAGCGGAGUGUCACGUGCCGACACGAGGGGAAUAAAGAUAAUGAAUCUUGAAAAAUGUUAAUGUAUCCAAUCUAAUGAACUGAAUUCCCAAAUGAGUAUGAUGAGGAGGCGUGAGUCCUCAUUGAUGUGCUUGGUGUUGUAACCAAGGGUUAUGGUAACUGUAAAUGCUGCAUGCUAAGGAUAUUAGUUGAUUUUAUGAUAUUGAUUAAUACAUACUCUUUUCUAUUUUGAGUUGGCCGAUGAUAUCUACUCAGUACCCGUGUUUUGUACUGACCCCUACUUUUAUUAUUUUCUUUUUGUUUAUUGUGGAGUGCAGCAAACGUGCCGUCGUCUUUGACUCAACAGUAAUUCAAGCCAGUCUUACUACAUCGGAAAUUCAGGGUGAGCUAAUGCUUCUAGCUUGGACUGGAUCUUCUUCUUCAAGUCUCGAUGCCUUGAACUUCCGGCAUGGACUAGCUUCUUAUGUAUUUUUAGCUUCUUAGAAUACUCUUAGUUUAGUAAUUUGAUUAUAGAUGUUCUUGUGAUGAUGACUUCCAGGUUUUGGGAAUAAUAGAUGUUGAAUAUUGAUAGUUAUUGAAUUGGUUUUUAUUAAUGAUUUUAAGUCUUCCGCAUUACUUUCUGUUGCUAUUACAUUGAAAUGUUAAGGUUUAGAUUGGUUGGUUCGCUCACAUAGGAGGGUAAGAGUGGGUGCCAGUCGCGGCCCGGAUUUGGGUCGUGACAGGAUUAGUACUGAUGUAGCUUAAGAAUGAUUAUUUUGUAACUAAAUAUUGGAUUGUUGUCUCCAAGGUCAAUAAAAUGGUAUAAUUAAAACACAGUCUCAAUUAGAAAAGCAAAAAUGAGUAAACAAAAAAAUGUUAGAUUAUUUAUGUAGAGUAAAAAAUUAAAGUUAAAUUUUUAGCAAAAUGAUUUUGUGUUGGUUAAUUAGGUAGGUAUUUUUUAUUACUUUUUAAUGAAAUUUCCAUAGUUAUAUGAUUUUAGUGGGAAUAUAAUAAUUAUAUGACUAUUUAUGAAAUUAACCACAUCUUUAUUUUUUUGAGGUAUGUAUUGAUCUUAAAGUUGCCGUUUAUCCUUUAUGAGCUAUUGGUCUAAGAGUAUAUUAGUCUACUAGAAUAUAGGGAAUUCCAUUGGAUGAAAUAUCAUAGUUGAAUAAUAAGAUUUCAUGAUAAUAUUAUUUAGCUAUAGAUUAGUUCAAACAAAAAAUUCAAGAAUUUGUAAGGAGUAUUUAAUCAUGAAUUAGUUAGCGAUUACAAUUAAUUCCAUAGCUAUUUAAUGUUUUUAGUUGUAUCGAUCACUAAAUUAAUGAUCUCUAUCUGGUUCUUUCUAAAAAUAAGUUCUGAAGGCAUUUUAUCUUAGUAAAACGAAGAAAUAAUAAGAUUAACCAAUUUUAUUCAUAAGUCUUUAUGUGUAUUGAUGGGACAGGUACCACGCCCCAAGGCCUAUACCCCUUGGCAUAAACACGAGCCCUAGGAUAACGAGUGACCCUAAGCUAACCUUGAACAGACAUAUUUUAAGCAUACUAAGACAACUGAAUAAAAGAUACUAUGCAGAAGCUUAUAUCAUGAGAUAAUUGGAAGAUGGGAAAUACCCAAUACUUAUCUGAAUAUAUAUUGAAAUUCUAAGGGUUAAAUGCUAAAUCUAAAUCUAAAUCUUAAACUAUGUUUUAAAAAGUCUCUAACUAAAUAGAGUUGUUGGGACAUGACAUCAUAACAACUAAUAAAAAAAUAAACAUGUCCAUUGUCAUCAAUGUAUGAGGACUCACCACUAAUGUUGUUGAGUAUGGAUUGAGAAUUGAUCUAUUCAUGAUUUCAAUGCUAAGAACCUUAACCUACAUCAUGAAUAUAAUUCAAUCUUAUAUUAAUAUAAUCAUUUUCAAGCUACAUUAAUGUUUAAAUACUAAUCCUAGACUUAAUGCUAUACACCCUACAUGGUCUUUUUAUCAUUAGUUUAGUUAUUUUUUGUCUAACUUGAAUCAUCAAAGGUUGUGUUUUAUGUGAAGGAGAGAGAGAUGAGUUUCUAGUCCAUAGUGCACGAGAAACUUCUCUCUAGUCCCGUAACAAAUAAAAGAUGGAUUUAUGGACGAUAGAAUUCAUGCUUCAAGAGAAUCCCUUUUUUCGCUUGGUUACGUGACUAGAUUAAUAUAUUUGUCAAAUAGCGGAUUUUCUUCCAGCGGAUACGGAGCGUACCCCUGAGGUUAUUGAUCCAAUUCCUAGUAAGUCAUGUGUCUCUCUUUCACAUAAGUUAGAAUUAAUUAUGAUUCAAGUAAGAUAAAAAUAACCUAAAUUCAUGAUAAAAAGAACAUGCAGUGUGUAGAGCAUAGAGUUUAGGAUUAGUAUUUAAAUAUUUACGUAGAUUAAGAAUGGUUAUAUUGCACUAUAAGAUUAGAUUGCAGUCUCUAAGCUCAAUUUAUGAUAUAUUGAAAACAGUCUCAAGUAGACAAGCAAAAAUGAGUAAAAAAAAAGUGAGAUUAUUUAUGUACAGUGAAAAAUUAAAGUUGAAUUUUUCGUCUACAUGACUUUGUGUAAGUUAAUUAGGUAGGCAUUUUCUGAUUAUUUUUUCACGAAAUUUCCAUUGUUACAUGAUCUUAGUGGGAAGGUCAUAAUUAUAUGAAAAUUUAUGAAAUUAACCACAUCUUUGUUUUUUUAGAGUAUAUAUUGAUCUUAAAGUAUUCGUUCAUCCUUGAUGAGAUAUAGGUCUAAGAGUAUAUUAACCUACUAGAAAAUAAGGAAUUAAGAUGGAUAAAAUUUCAUAGCUGAACAAUAAAAUUUCAUGCUAAUUUUUUUUAGCUAUGGAUUAGCGUAAAAAAAUAAAAGAAAAUUCAUGAAUUAGCAAGGAGGUUCUUAGUGAUGGAUUAGUUAGGAUUACUAACAAAUCCCAUAGCUAAUUCAAUACUUUUAGUAGUAUCUAUCACUAAAUUAAUGAUCUCUUUUUGGUUCUUUCUAAUUUACCAAUUUUACUAAUGAAUCUUUGUGUGUAUUGAUGGAAAAGUGACACACGUUGCGGCUAUCCCCUUGGUUUAAACACGGAAUCUACGAUCACGAGUGAACCCAAACUAACCCUUAGCAGGUUUAUCAUAAGCAUACUAUAAAUACUGAACACAUGAUACUAUUCAACAACUUAAAUUAUGAGAUAACUGAAAGAUGGGAAAUACCCAUACAAAUCUGAAUAUAUAAUAAACUUCUAAAUGUUAAGUGAUACUAAACAAUCCUUCUAAUGAUAAAGGUGAAUAUAAAACAAUAUCAAUGAAAGUCUCUAACUAACUCGAUUUGUUGGGACAUGUCCCAGGUAAAACUUAAACUGAAAUAAAGACUGAAAUGGAAAACAUGUCUAUUGUCCUCAAAGUGUGAAGACUCAUCCCUAAUGCUGCUGAGUAUGGAUCGGGAACCAAAUAUAUUCGUGAUCUGAAUGUUGAGUACCUUAACAUACAUCAUGAAAGGAUGUAGCUCUCAAUAUGCGUUAGUACUUGGAAUGUACAGAGAAUGCGAGAUAAGAAUAUAACUGAAAAAAUAUGUAAGUUGAACAAGGAAAACUGAGAAAUGACGCAUCUUAACAUAAUGUAAAUACUGAAAUACAUUGAAAUGAAUUGAUAUGAAUUUAAUGAGAUGUACUAAUUAUUAAAAUGCUUAGAUUGAAUACUAAUAUAUUGAAAACCUAGUGAAAUGCACUAGAGUCUGAUUGUGGGAGCUACUAUUAACCCACAUCAAAUAACAUAAGCUAAACUGGAGUCCGAUGAAUACUCCCCAUUGAGAGGAACUAAUAUACCUUUCCAUUCCAGAGUAUAAAGGCAUUACUCGUAUGAACGCUAAAUUUAAUGCCCAAUGAGGGAAUUCAUACUCCUACAGGAGCAUGUAGUUUUGAGACUAUUAGGGUACGUUGAACCCUAAUCUAACUCAAUACUAAGCCUACUCCAAAUUGGAAUGUGUAUGAAUCAGUAUAACUAAAUUAUUGAAAAUGAGAAUGUAAUAUUUAAGUACUGACAACAAACAUUCAAAAUCGGAGGCAUACUUAAUUGUUCAAUUGACCUAGCAAUUGUUAUUGAAAAACUAAGAGAAUCUACAAUUGCGUGGUUCUAAUGUUCAUGCAAAUAAUUAAUGAACAAUUUCAUGAAAAAACAUGAUAAUCUUAUUAGGAACAUUAUAAUAGCUAUAUCAUAAUAAUUCUUCAAGGUUUUAGAAACUCUAGAUCUAAACAAGAUAUCAAGGAUAAAGAAUCUGACUGAAUUCUAAGGAACUAGUGGAUGAAAGGAACGUACUAGUUCAAUCCAACAUAGAACUGAAGAAAACCUCCUACUUGUUCUUAAGAGGAAAUUAUCGAAUAUUCUCUUCUUUUGCUCUAAGUUUGAUUAACUUACGUAAAAAGUUUAAAUAUUGCAAAAGUUUAUUUUUAGUCAUAGAGUUUGUACAAAUGGCAUAUCCUGGGAGCACCCCCUUGACGUAACCGGCGUCGUCGUCCUCUUUGAGGACAAAGACUACCCUCUCAGCCUACAUCAUUAAAUUUAUAGGUUAAAAUGCGGAAAUUUGUGAAAAUAUUUAUUACUACUACAUGGAGGUUUACAUAGACCUCUACAUACACAUAAUAGGUAUAUCGAGCAUACAUAGACCCUUCAUAUAGGAAGAUUACUUAGUCUUCUAAUUUUAUUACACGUGUUUACAUACAUACAUAUAUAUAUAUAUAUAUAUAAAUAUGUAUGUGUGUAUGUAUAUAUAUAUAUAGAUAUAUAUAUAUAUAUAUAUAUAUAUAUAUAUAUAUACCAAUAGUUUCUCAUCUGAUAACCAUCUACCAAUAGUGUAAUAAUUUGGGAGUGGCUCAUAUAUCAAUAUAACAAGACCACGUAUAGGUCAUUGUAACGACAUGUUUGUCGUUUGAGCAGUAGAAUUUAUUUUUGGUAAUAGCUGUCUGGGUUAACGGAUCCCACGACGGACCGUCAUUGGUACGACGGACCAUCGAGGGGGUCUCGUUCCAAAACACUUAGACCCUGGAAAUUUGGUUACUGAGAUCGACUCUCUGAACUUCACGACGAAAUGGCAGGGACGGACCGUUGUUUGCACGACGGGCUGCCACAGAAUCUUUAAGGAAUUCGACUCUCUGAACUUUGUGACGGAAACAGCAGGACAGACCAUCGCAGGCACGACGGGCCAUAACGAGCUGCGUAACCCUAACACGGCCGGAUUUCUGUUAAAAGUUUUUACAGGGUGUUUCGGACUAUUCCUGCUUAUGAUUAUAAAGUUAGUGGUUUAAUAAUAAUAAUUCAAUUACUUGGGGGUUAAAGGAGAUAACCUUAAAAUAAAGAAUGGGUUACUUUUAACAUGUUUUAUACUUAAUUAUAUGGUAAUUAGGGUAAAACAAAGGGACUUUGAAAGAGGAGAAAAUUAAAAAAAGAAGAAGAGAGAACGAGCGAGAGGGAGAGAAGAAUGAAGAGAAACCAAAAAGCAUUGGAGAAGUAGAUUGCUUGAUUCACGAUUCCUUGGUGGAGGUAGGUUAUGGUUUAUGUUAUUUCAUAGUAAACUCUUCAUAGUGAAUGAUAUGUAUUGGGUAGUAUUGUAAAGUCUUCUAUAUGCUUAAUUGUGUGCUUGCAUGAUGUGAUUAUGUAAUUGUAAUGGAUUGGAAAGAUGAGGCUGUGAAUCUUAAACUUUAAAUUCCCUUUGUUAAUGAUGAUGCCUUGGUAUAAAAGAAGGCUUGAUGAACGAAAUUAAUGAGAUUAGGGGAUCGGGUGUCACGAACCUACACGUAGUAUUAGGGGAUCAGGUUUCACGAACCGACACGUAGUAUUAGGGGAUCAGAGUGUCACGUUCCGACACCAGGAUAAUAGGGGAUCGGAGUAUCACAUUCCGACACCGGGAUAGUAAAAUGAAUGAAUAUUGAGUGGAUCAAAGUGUCACGUUCUUAAACCAGGAUAAAAAGAGAAUGAAUCUUGAACUAUGCUAAUAUACUAAGAUUUAAAGAACUUAUUCCCCAAAUGAGUAUGGUAUAGAGGUUUGAGUCCUCAUAGAUGUGCUUGGGUUGCGGCCGAUGGUUAUGGUACUUGUUGUUGUCACCAGUUGAGUCUGGUAGUCGAUUUUAUGAUAUUAUCUGAUAUAUAUUGCUUUCUAUUUUGAGUUGGCCGAUAAUACCUACUCGGUACUUGUGCCUUGUACUGACCCAUACUUGUAAUUUUCCUCUUUGUUAUUUGUGCAGUGCAGCAAACGUGCCAUCGUCUUCAACUCGUCCUCAACUCUAGCCAGUCUUCAUCACGUCAGAUUUCAGGGUGAGCUAUUGUUCCUAGAUCGGACUGGAUUCUCUCUCAUUCAUGUCUUGAUGUCCUUGAAGUUCGGACAUGGACCAUCUGUUUAUUUAUUUUAGCUUCCAAGAUAUUCUUAGACUUAGUAAUUUGAGGAUAGAAUGUUCUUGUGGUGAUGACUUCCAGAUUUUGGGAAUGAUAAGUGUGGAGUUUUAGAAGUUAUUUAAUCGAUUUUCGUUAAUGAGUUUUAAGUCUUCCGCAUUAUAUUCUGUUUAUUAUGGUUGAAAUGUUGGGGUUUAGAUUUGUUGGUUCACUCUCAUAGGAUGGUAAGUGUGGGUGCUACUCGCGACUCAUUUUGGGUCGUGACAAACUUGGUAUUAGAGCAUUAGGUUCGUUGGUCUUAUCACACAAGAACGAGUCUAGUAGAAUUUUGAGGGACGGUAGAGGGACGCCUUUACUUUUCUUUUAGAGGCUACAAGACUUUAGGAAAACUCCAUUCUUUCUCUCUUUCGCGCUAUUACUUGGAUCCAAUUGGUAUCUAGGUGAUACAAAUUGGUAUCUGACCAUCUUCACUCUAUUUCGCAGAUGGUUAGAACUAGAACAACAACCGCGCCAACACCAAC